Molecule: long non-coding RNA, 437 nt
Organism: Neodiprion virginianus
Lineage: Eukaryota; Metazoa; Arthropoda; Insecta; Hymenoptera; Diprionidae
Exons: 3
Source: RefSeq, a predicted model, not a curated record
CUUAACUUCCAGGAAAAGCGCUCAGUAGUUUCUAUGCUCCAGGUCCGCUACCCGGUGAAACUCGACUUCCAGGACUAGCGCUCCGUGGUUCCUUGACUCCGGGUACGCUACCUGGUGAAACUCGUCUUCCUGGACAAGCGCUCCGUAGUUUCUGCGCUCUAGGUCCGCUACCUGGUGAAACUCGACUUUCAGGACAAGCGCUCCGUAGUUUCUGGUUAGCGGUCGUUGAAGGUGGUUGCGGGUGAUCGAGGCGAACGAGAAUUUGUGCGCGGUAUAACCCGAGGUGGUUAGCUGUGGUCGUUGGAGGUGGUUGGCGGUGGUUGGAGAUGGUCGAAGGUGGUUAGAGGUGGUUAUGGGUGAUUGUGCGGGACAAGGAGAAAGACAAGGACGAGAAGGACGCGGAUUUAUGCAUGGUAUAACUCGAGGUGGUCGGCGGU